AUACGUAGGGGGCGAGCGUUGUCCGGAAUGAUUGGGCGUAAAGGGCGCGUAGGCGGCCCGGUAAGUCUGGAGUGAAAGUCCUGCUUUUAAGGUGGGAAUUGCUUUGGAUACUGUCGGGCUUGAGUGCAGGAGAGGUAAGUGGAAUUCCCAGUGUAGCGGUGAAAUGCGUAGAGAUUGGGAGGAACACCAGUGGCGAAGGCGACUCUCUGGACUGAUACUGACGCUGAGGCACGAAAGCGUGGGGAGCAAACAGGAUUAGAUACCCUGGUAGUCCACGCUAUAAACGAUGAGUGCUAGGUGUCGGGGGUCAAACCUCGGUGCCGCAGUUAACACAUUAAGCACUCCGCCUGGGGAGUACGGCCGCAAGGCUGAAACUCAAAGGAAUUGACGGGG
RNAcentral lists this ribosomal RNA (393 nucleotides) under uncultured bacterium. Its description in RNAcentral is "partial 16S ribosomal RNA". It matches the Rfam family "Bacterial small subunit ribosomal RNA", at positions 523 to 918 of the family's 1533-position model. The record is from RNAcentral.